AAAUUGAAGAGUUUGAUCAUGGCUCAGAUUGAACGCUGGCGGCAGGCCUAACACAUGCAAGUCGAACGGUAACAGGAAGCAGCUUGCUGCUUCGCUGACGAGUGGCGGACGGGUGAGUAAUGUCUGGGAAACUGCCUGAUGGAGGGGGAUAACUACUGGAAACGGUAGCUAAUACCGCAUAACGUCGCAAGACCAAAGAGGGGGACCUUCGGACCUCUUGCCAUCGGAUGUGCCCAGAUGGGAUUAGCUAGUAGGUGGGGUAACGGCUCACC
This 272-nucleotide ribosomal RNA is filed under the name Escherichia coli. Its description in RNAcentral is "partial 16S ribosomal RNA". It matches the Rfam family "Bacterial small subunit ribosomal RNA", at positions 1 to 269 of the family's 1533-position model. Lineage: Bacteria; Pseudomonadati; Pseudomonadota; Gammaproteobacteria; Enterobacterales; Enterobacteriaceae. The record is from RNAcentral.